AUCCAGACUCCUACGGGAGGCAGCAGUGAGGAAUAUUGGUCAAUGGGCGAGAGCCUGAACCAGCCAAGUCGCGUGAGGGAAGACGGUCCUAUGGAUUGUAAACCUCUUUUGUCGGGGAGCAACUUCCGUUACGUGUAACGGAGUCGAGAGUACCCGAAGAAAAAGCAUCGGCUAACUCCGUGCCAGCAGCCGCGGUAAUACGGAGGAUGCGAGCGUUUUCCGGUUUUAUUGGGUUUAAAGGGUGCGUAGGCGGGAAUGCAAGGUAGGAGUGAAAGGCGGGGGGCCCACCCCCGGACCGCCGUUGAAACUGACGGUCUUGAGUGGGCGAGAAGUAUGCGGAAUGCGUGGUGUAGCGGUGAAAUGCAUAGAUAUCACGCAGAACUCCGAUUGCGAAGGCAGCAUACCGGCGCCCAACUGACGCUGAAGCACGAAAGCGUGGGGAUCGAACAGGAUUAGAUACCCCGGUAU
This 468-nucleotide ribosomal RNA is filed under the name uncultured bacterium. Its description in RNAcentral is "bacterial SSU rRNA". It matches the Rfam family "Bacterial small subunit ribosomal RNA", at positions 329 to 793 of the family's 1533-position model. The record is from RNAcentral.